GUCUAUGGCCACACCACCCUGAACGUGCCUGAUCUCAUCCAAUCUCGGAAGCUAAGCAGGGUUGGGCCUGGUUAGUGCUUGGAUGGGAGACCACCUGGGACCUGUAGUCCCGGCUACUUGGGAGG
RNAcentral lists this ribosomal RNA (125 nucleotides) under Prolemur simus (greater bamboo lemur). Lineage: Eukaryota; Metazoa; Chordata; Mammalia; Primates; Lemuridae. The record is from RNAcentral.